GUGCUCACUUUGGCAGCACAUAUACUAAAAUUGAAGAUUGGCAUGGCCCCUGCGCAAGGAUGACACGCAAAUUCGUGAAGCGUUCCAUACUUUU
Dipodomys ordii (Ord's kangaroo rat) is the source of this 94-nucleotide small nuclear RNA. The record is from Ensembl. NCBI's taxonomy places the organism in Eukaryota, Metazoa, Chordata, Mammalia, Rodentia, Heteromyidae.